Long non-coding RNA from Hibiscus syriacus, 189 nucleotides. RefSeq lists it as uncharacterized. The transcript is spliced from 2 exons. NCBI's taxonomy places the organism in Eukaryota, Viridiplantae, Streptophyta, Magnoliopsida, Malvales, Malvaceae. The record is from RefSeq and is a predicted model, not a curated record.
GCAUAUGGUUGUCGCCGAUCUCUAAUGCAUUCUCCGUCCCAUUUUCCGUUCAGCGGAUUCAGUUUUAAUGCAGACGCUAUAAACUUGUUCCAUGUUGAUCUGCAUGCCAAUAAACAAAUUUACUAUGAAGAACCGAAUACGAAUCAAAACGGGGAGUUGAUCGAACACCGAGUUCAGCUUGAUCCGUAA